GAGAUGUAUAGGCGAAUCUAAUAUACAUUAUUGGAAUACAUGUUGUAGACAAUGUAUGUAUAUAAUAAAUGAGAAAUGCCAAUACGAAUUGGCAAUGUCUAUUAAUAUUUUGAUUUUGAGUUUUGAAAAAUGACUUAACAAUUUAUGAUGGAAUGAUGAACACAUCGGACUAAUAGGCUUGCUUGGGCUUAGUGGACUAUGUCCAUUGGGCCCAUGCACCGGUCAUGGCUCGAAAUUUGGGUCGUGACAACAUGUUGUAGACAUUGUAUGUAAAUUUUUAAGGAG
Molecule: long non-coding RNA, 285 nt
Filed under: Theobroma cacao (cacao)
Lineage: Eukaryota; Viridiplantae; Streptophyta; Magnoliopsida; Malvales; Malvaceae
Description: long non-coding RNA (TCAC_LNC000344)
Source: RNAcentral